RNAcentral lists this ribosomal RNA (253 nucleotides) under uncultured bacterium. Its description in RNAcentral is "partial 16S ribosomal RNA". It matches the Rfam family "Bacterial small subunit ribosomal RNA", at positions 524 to 776 of the family's 1533-position model. The record is from RNAcentral. RNAcentral also lists the same sequence under 1 other name.
GACGGAGGGGGCUAGCGUUGUUCGGAAUUACUGGGCGUAAAGCGUGCGUAGGCGGCCUUUCAAGUUGGGUGUGAAAGCCCGGGGCUUAACCCCGGAAAUGCGCCCAAGACUGUUUGGCUAGAGACCGGGAGAGGUGAGUGGAACUCCCAGUGUAGAGGUGAAAUUCGUAGAUAUUGGGAAGAACACCAGUGGCGAAGGCGGCUCACUGGACCGGUACUGACGCUGAGGCACGAAAGCGUGGGGAGCAAACAGG